AACCGGUGGUUUUCUGCACACAGCCGAAGGUGUAGCCGCGAACCGAGUCGGUGGCCAGGGUGAUGUUGUCCUGUGCUAGACCGGCCGAGAUCGAGGAGCUGCCGUAUGUGGUGUUGAACCCGCACGACUUGCCGCCGCAACUCGGGUUAGGGACCUAUAUGCAAAUAGUAAUAAAUAAUUUAUUUUAUGUCAGCUUUAUUUGAAUUAUUAAAUUAAAUUUUGUCACGGGCAUAAUAUUCUGACAAGAAACCUGGGCGCAUUGGGGGGAGCCGCAGCGGAGGGGCUUGAAGGAGGAGGACUUGGCGGGGUCGAAGGUGGCGGCGGAGCAACCGAUGCAGGCGGUGCAUGGGAUCCAGGCGACGUCGUUGCUGGUGUCGAGGGCGACGAGCAGCUGCUGAGCGGGGGUGCCGAUCUUGACGCGGAC
Molecule: long non-coding RNA, 424 nt
Filed under: Salvia miltiorrhiza (redroot sage)
Lineage: Eukaryota; Viridiplantae; Streptophyta; Magnoliopsida; Lamiales; Lamiaceae
Description: long non-coding RNA (SMIL_LNC006888)
Source: RNAcentral